Molecule: ribosomal RNA, 278 nt
Filed under: uncultured bacterium
Lineage: Bacteria
Description: partial 16S ribosomal RNA
Rfam family: Bacterial small subunit ribosomal RNA
Source: RNAcentral
GACGAACGCUGGCGGCGUGCUUAACACAUGCAAGUCGAGCGGUAAGGCCCUUUCGGGGGUACGACGAGCGGCGAACGGGUGAGUAACACGUGGGUGACCUGCCCUCAGCUCUGGGAUAAGCCUGGGAAACCGGGGUACUAAUACUGGAUAUGACUCCAUGACGCAUGUUGUGGGGUGGAAAGCCUUGUGCGGCUGAGGAUGGGCCCGCGGCCUAUCAGCUUGUUGGUGGGGUGGAUGGCCUACCAAGGCGACGACGGGUAGCCGGCCUGAGAGGGCGA